GUCUACAGCCAUGCUACCCUGAGCAAGCCUGAUCCUGUCUGCUCUCAGAAGCUAAACAGGGUCAGGCCUAGUUGGUUAGUACUUGGAUGGGAGACCACCUAGGAAGACCAGGUGCUGUAGGCG
Molecule: ribosomal RNA, 123 nt
Filed under: Pteropus alecto (black flying fox)
Lineage: Eukaryota; Metazoa; Chordata; Mammalia; Chiroptera; Pteropodidae
Also listed under: 1 other name
Source: RNAcentral